This 524-nucleotide ribosomal RNA is filed under the name uncultured bacterium. RNAcentral describes it as "partial 16S ribosomal RNA". It matches the Rfam family "Bacterial small subunit ribosomal RNA", at positions 28 to 523 of the family's 1533-position model. The record is from RNAcentral.
GACGAACGCUGGCGGCGUGCCUAAUACAUGCAAGUCGAGCGCAGGAAAUCGACGGAACCCUUCGGGGGGAAGUCGACGGAAUGAGCGGCGGACGGGUGAGUAACACGUAAAGAACCUGCCCUCAGGUCUGGGAUAACCACGAGAAAUCGGGGCUAAUACCGGAUGGGUCAUCGGACCGCAUGGUCCGAGGAUGAAAGGCGCUUCGGCGUCGCCUGGGGAUGGCUUUGCGGUGCAUUAGCUAGUUGGUGGGGUAAUGGCCCACCAAGGCGACGAUGCAUAGCCGACCUGGGGGGGUGAUCGGCCACACUGGGACGGAGACACGGCCCAGACUCCUACGGGAGGCAGCAGUAGGGAAUCUUCCACAAUGGACGAAAGUCUGAUGGAGCAACGCCGCGUGAACGAUGAAGGCCUUCGGGUCGUAAAGUUCUGUUGUAAGGGAAGAACAAGUGCCGCAGGCAAUGGCGGCACCUUGACGGUACCUUGCGAGAAAGCCACGGCUAACUACGUGCCAGCCGCCGCGGUAA